AAGCGUGCAUUUGCACGCCGCAGAUAAGUUCGUUGGAAAAUGAUAAUUAAAGUGCAAAAUAAACAGUUCUUUUUUGAUAACGCGUCGCGAAGCGAAAUUAGUUUCGCUUGUUAUCAGUUCUCGCGCGGACGAAACAAAAAAUAAACUAGUGCAACCCCAAAGGGUUCGUUGAACAGCGCAGUUGUUUAUAGUGCCAGGUUAUGCAAGCGGAAGUCGUAGAAAAAACUGCAUUAAUUUCUGGCAGGACGACAGACGCAGAAGGCAACGCGCGAACCAAAAUGCCACUGUCCGGAGGUGUUAGCAGCUGAACUUUCACUCAUUUCGUCAAUGCUGCCGCCACGCCACCGCCACAGCCGAUCGCCCAAUGCUGUAUGCAUAUGACAUCCGGUUUUUGUUUGACAAGUUAGAUUUUUUUUGUUUGCUCAGCACAAAUUCACCAACUAUAGUUGCAAACGUUGCGAACCCCGAGAUAACCAUGCGUCGCAAAUAGCGUCGCCAUGACAGCGGCGAAAACAGCAAACAACCGCGUGGUUGAGGGCAACGAAAUUUCCGGUCCAUCAUCAAUGUGCUACCGCUACUCACUUGCACCAAUAACGUCAGUGAAAAGAUGGAAAAAAAUAAUACGCACACCAUCGGCCGUUCAUCAUCCAAGUUUGCAAGUGCUGUCAUUUCAUGGACGCUGAAAGCGUCUGAAAGAGAAAAAACUCCUCGCUUCCUUGUACACGCGGGCACUCGAAAAACCAACAACCAGCUCCAAGAGAGCGAAGCAGUUUCGUGAAGAAUCCUCCUAUAAGAAAACCCCACGCGGUAACGAACCCGAUCAUCUACAUCUACAGUCGACCGAAGUCGACAUCGAUUGUACCUAAAGAGAGAAUGAUAGAAAAAACUCAGCUUUUGAAAGAAAAUAAUUUAAUGCGAAAAACACGCACCGGAUGCCGUUUGCUGCUCGGCAACUUCGGAUCAGCACACGUAAGUAC
Wyeomyia smithii (pitcher-plant mosquito) is the source of this 977-nucleotide long non-coding RNA. RefSeq lists it as uncharacterized. The record is from RefSeq and is a predicted model, not a curated record. The transcript is spliced from 3 exons. NCBI's taxonomy places the organism in Eukaryota, Metazoa, Arthropoda, Insecta, Diptera, Culicidae.